GUUCCCAGGACAGGAGAGUGUGUGCUCCACCAUGCCAGGCCACAUGGGGGAGCGGCAGGGUCAGUCGGGACAGCGGGAGCAAGAGCCUUUAUUCUGGUUUCCCCAGGAACAGGUGAGGCCAGGUCACAAUUCAUAUUGAUAUUUAAAUGGCAUCUGGAUGCUGCAUAUUGCAUAUUAGAAACAAAAAAAAUUGGUAAAAUCCCAAUACGAAGAGAGAGAACAAAACAAGCAGAAAAAUUAACCUGAUGGAAGCAAAUAAGAACAAAAGAAAACAAAACCUAUAAGCAAAUAAUACCAUGGGAAAAUAACAGAAGUUUUUGCAUCCAUAAACCAAGGAUAUGGUGCCUCACGCCUGUAAUCCCAGCACUUUAGGAGGCCGAGGCGGGCAGAUCACCUGAGGUCAGGAGUUCGAGAGCAGUCUGGCCAUCAUGGUGAAACCCUGUCUCUACUGAAAAUACAAAAAUUAGCUGGGCAUAGUGGCGGGUGCCUGUAGUCCCAGCUACUCGGGAGUCUGAGGCAGGAGAAUC
Molecule: long non-coding RNA, 527 nt
Filed under: Homo sapiens (human)
Lineage: Eukaryota; Metazoa; Chordata; Mammalia; Primates; Hominidae
Description: novel transcript
Source: RNAcentral